Molecule: ribosomal RNA, 775 nt
Filed under: Nothacrobeles hebetocaudatus
Lineage: Eukaryota; Metazoa; Nematoda; Chromadorea; Rhabditida; Cephalobidae
Description: partial 28S ribosomal RNA
Rfam family: Eukaryotic large subunit ribosomal RNA
Source: RNAcentral
CCUAUCACGAUCACGAGGACGUGAAACCGGUAGGAUGGAAACGGAUAGAGCCAACGAACAAGCCCGUAUUCAGCUAGUCGGCUGCGUGCGGCAUGCCUGUGCGUCCCUUUACGGUGGCUGGGUGGUUGGCGGAUUGCGGUGGGUUAUGGAUUUUCCGGGGAAGGGGGCUUAAGGCUAGGGGGAAAUCCUGGCAAACGUCUAAAAAAGGCCCCCCCUCCGGACAUAAAACUAAUGGCGGGGAAUAAGGGCUUUCCUGUGCGUAUAUAAAACGGACAAGUGCAUUCCCGCCUUCCCGUCCUCCGGUCGGUCCCUUUGGCGGUCCCAUGCGACUUGGGCUUGGGGUCUGUCUUGGGGGCGUGGCGGUGCCCUGUCCGAACCUCCGUGUAGAAGUUGGUCAUCUCUCCGACCCGUCUUGAUACACGGACGAACGAGUCUAGCGUAUACGCGAGUCAUUGGUUGGAAGAAACAUAGGCGUAAUGAAAGUGAAGGUUCCGCACGGGACUGGUAUGCGAUCCGUUGAGCUUCGGUUUAGCGGAGCAACAUAGCCCCGUCUCGACUGCUUGCUUUGGGGCGGAGGUAGAGCGUAUUCACUGGUACCCGACCGAUGGUGAACUAUGCCUGACCAGGAUGAAUCCAGACGAAACUCUGGUGGAGGUCCGAACCGCUUCUGACGUGCAAAUCGAUCGUCUGACUUGCGUAUAGGGGCGAAAGAAUAAUCGAACCAUCAUUAGGGGGGGUCCCAAAACAAAAAAAAAAAAGCCCGGGGGAGAAAAAU